RNAcentral lists this ribosomal RNA (406 nucleotides) under uncultured bacterium. Its description in RNAcentral is "partial 16S ribosomal RNA". It matches the Rfam family "Bacterial small subunit ribosomal RNA", at positions 30 to 526 of the family's 1533-position model. The record is from RNAcentral.
CUUGAACGCUGGCGGCAGGCCUAACACAUGCAAGUCGAACGAGUGGCGGACGGGUGAGUAAUGUCUGGGAAACUGCCUGAUGGAGGGGGAUAACUACUGGAAACGGUCGCUAAUACCGCAUACCAUCGGAUGUGCCCAGAUGGGAUUAGCUAGUAGGUGGGGUAACGGCUCACCUAGGCGACGCUCCCUAGCUGGUCUGAGAGGAUGGCCAGCCAAACUGGAACUGAGACACGGGCCAGACUCCUACGGUAGGCAGCAGGGGGGAAUAUUGCAAGAUGGGCGCAAGCCUGAUGCAGCCAUGCCGAGUGUAUGAAGAAGGCCUUCGGGUUGUAGAGUACUUUCAGCGGGGAGGCGUUACCCGCAGAAGAAGCAGCGGCUAACUCCGUGCCAGCAGCCGCGGUAAUUC